UAAGGUCACGGCAAGACGAGCCGUUUAUCAUUACGAUAGGUGUCAAGUGGAAGUGCAGUGAUGUAUGCAGCUGAGGCAUCCUAACAGACCGAGAGAUUUGAAC
Molecule: ribosomal RNA, 103 nt
Filed under: Alisma plantago-aquatica
Lineage: Eukaryota; Viridiplantae; Streptophyta; Magnoliopsida; Alismatales; Alismataceae
Also listed under: 20 other names
Description: 4.5S ribosomal RNA
Source: RNAcentral